GCCCGAAAGGGAAUUGGAACACAGGUGCUGCAUGGCUGUCGUCAGCUCGUGUCGUGAGAUGUUGGGUUAAGUCCCGCAACGAGCGCAACCCUUAUCAUUAGUUGCUACGCAAGGGCACUCUAAUGAGACUGCCGGUGACAAACCGGAGGAAGGUGGGGAUGACGUCAAGUCCUCAUGGCCCUUAUGGGUAGGGCUUCACACGUCAUACAAUGGUCGGUACAGAGGGUUGCCAAGCCGCGAGGUGGAGCCAAUCCCAGAAAGCCGAUCGUAGUCCGGAUUGUUCUCUGCAACUCGAGAGCAUGAAGUCGGAAUCGCUAGUAAUCGCGGAUCAGCAUGUCGCGGUGAAUACGUUCCCGGGUCUU
This 362-nucleotide ribosomal RNA is filed under the name uncultured Thiobacillus sp. RNAcentral describes it as "bacterial SSU rRNA". It matches the Rfam family "Bacterial small subunit ribosomal RNA", at positions 1014 to 1382 of the family's 1533-position model. The record is from RNAcentral. Lineage: Bacteria; Pseudomonadati; Pseudomonadota; Betaproteobacteria; Nitrosomonadales; Thiobacillaceae.